This 253-nucleotide ribosomal RNA is filed under the name uncultured bacterium. RNAcentral's name for it is "partial 16S ribosomal RNA". It matches the Rfam family "Bacterial small subunit ribosomal RNA", at positions 524 to 776 of the family's 1533-position model. The record is from RNAcentral.
UACAGAGGUGGCAAGCGUUGUUCGGAAUUACUGGGCGUAAAGGGCGCGUAGGCGGUCUUGCAAGUCCUGUGUGAAAUCCCUCGGCUCAACUGAGGAACUGCACAGGAAACUGCUUGGCUUGAGUUCGGGAGAGGGAAGCGGAAUUCCGGGUGUAGCGGUGAAAUGCGUAGAUAUCCGGAGGAACACCGGUGGCGAAGGCGGCUUCCGGGACCGACACUGACGCUGAGGCGCGAAAGCUAGGGGAGCAAACGGG